GAAAAAACGUAAAGGAAGACGACGACGAAAAACCCACCAACAAAUUGAAACCCGGUUCAGUUGACAUAAUCCGUUCAGUAAUGUCACGUGGAGUAGACGAAAACGAAGAUACUGCCGUGAGAAUCUUCGAUUAUCAGACAUAUAAGAAUUUAGAAAUGACGAAGAAAGAACAGGAUGUAUCUCGAAUGUAUGACGAUAUCCAUACUCAACUUAUUUUGGAAAAAGAAAGUAUCUCUUGUCGAAAGCAUGUUGCACCGUUGAUCCAGAAACUGAAACAAGAAGAGUCCAUUGACGGUCUUUACGGAUUGGCUGAUGAAAUUAUUUGGUGUGAGCCUGUCGUCGAUAAAACAAGAAAGAAAUGAAGCCAGAGUCGAUCCAUUGUCGAAAAAUUACCAGUAACUAUUGGAAGCAUUACUUUUUUAAUAUCACUUAUGUUGUUCUAG
Molecule: long non-coding RNA, 443 nt
Organism: Limulus polyphemus (Atlantic horseshoe crab)
Lineage: Eukaryota; Metazoa; Arthropoda; Merostomata; Xiphosura; Limulidae
Exons: 4
Source: RefSeq, a predicted model, not a curated record